GACGAACGCUGGCGGCGAGCCUAAUACAUGCAAGUCGAGCGAAUGGAUUAAGAGCUUGCUCUUAUGAAGUUAGCGGCGGACGGGUGAGUAACACGUGGGUAACCUGCCCAUAAGACUGGGAUAACUCCGGGAAACCGGGGCUAAUACCGGAUAACAUUUUGAACCGCAUGGUUCGAAAUUGAAAGGCGGCUUCGGCUGUCACUUAUGGAUGGACCCGCGUCGCAUUAGCUAGUUGGUGAGGUAACGGCUCACCAAGGCAACGAUGCGUAGCCGACCUGAGAGGGUGAUCGGCCACACUGGGACUGAGACACGGCCCAGACUCCUACGGGAGGCAGCAGUAGGGAAUCUUCCGCAAUGGACGAAAGUCUGACGGAGCAACGCCGCGUGAGUGAUGAAGGCUUUCGGGUCGUAAAACUCUGUUGUUAGGGAAGAACAAGUGCUAGUUGAAUAAGCUGGCACCUUGACGGUACCUAACCAGAAAGCCACGGCUAACUACGUGCCAGCCGCCGCGGUAA
This 515-nucleotide ribosomal RNA is filed under the name uncultured bacterium. Its description in RNAcentral is "partial 16S ribosomal RNA". It matches the Rfam family "Bacterial small subunit ribosomal RNA", at positions 28 to 523 of the family's 1533-position model. The record is from RNAcentral.